Long non-coding RNA from Talpa occidentalis (Iberian mole), 1097 nucleotides. RefSeq lists it as uncharacterized. NCBI's taxonomy places the organism in Eukaryota, Metazoa, Chordata, Mammalia, Eulipotyphla, Talpidae. The transcript has 4 exons. The record is from RefSeq and is a predicted model, not a curated record.
UAAAUUGUUUAGAGUGCCCAUGGCAAGUGCUUGUCAAAGAGUUUUGGGACCAUCAGUGACCUCUAAUGAACAUCCAGAGUUUUAGGCUAUGAACCGGGGUCUUCACUCUGAAAGCACUGGCUGACCUGACCACCUCUGGGGAGCUAGAAAGCUUAUGUCCAGAGCGACAAACUGGAUACCUGAUCCCUUUACCAGUUACCUUGGCUCCAUCAAGGAACAGAUAACCUCUGGCAGAGGAAUUCCCGGAAACCUGGGAUCUGGCCGGCCUUCAGAGCAAAUCCAAUGGUGCCUCCGACCACAUGGAAGUACUCGGGCAUAGCAAUCAGGGAAGAACUGGCCCAUGCCUCGCUGGCUAGCCAGAUCCUGCCUGUGAUAUUGCGCCGGACAAUUUCCUUGAUGAGGGGUUCAAGGUCUGGACCACUGGAGAAAACUACGAUGACUUUAGCUGUGGAAUUCUGGAUCACCUCCACCACUUGCUGGAUCUCUUCCUCAUCAGAGUACUGGGAGAUGAGCUCACUGAAGUCAAUACAGAUGUCCCGCUCUUCAGCUUCCUCUCGAAACUUCUCAAUCCCCGGCCGGCCAUAGUCAUCAUCAGCAGCAAUUGUGCCCACCCAGUUCCAGCGGAAAUAUUCGAUAAUGUCUGCCAUGGCAGUGGCCUGGUGUUCAUCAUUGGGGAUGGUACGGAGGAAGGACUUGAAUUGAUUCUUGUUGCUGAGUAGUCUACUGGAGGAGGCAUAGCUAACCUGGAAAGAAUCAAAACCAGAGUGAAUGAGAUGCCAGGUGAUGCCUGAGGCUACUUUAAUAGGCUUUUGCUGUGGGUUUCCAAAACCUAGAGAGGCUGAAAAGGAAGCCUGGAGAAGUUGCCUUGGUUAUUUCCAUUUUCUAAGAUAUAGCCAGUUCUUCAUCUGAGCAUGGGUAUGGGGCACCAAGGAAAGAGAGCCUUUAAUGGUGAAAGAUCGUUGUCUGAAGAAAUACUCAAAAUCAUGCAAAGCAUCCCUUAGUGCAGAGCUUCCACUUAUUUUCACAUUACAGCAAACAGAAGAUGGAAUGAAUCGAAGAGGCUGACCCAACCUGGCAGGGAGUGCGCUCACCACUGU